This 86-nucleotide transfer RNA is filed under the name Deinococcota bacterium. RNAcentral describes it as "Deinococcus-Thermus bacterium tRNA-Tyr". It matches the Rfam family "tRNA". From Rfam's summary of the family: Transfer RNA (tRNA) molecules are approximately 80 nucleotides in length. The record is from RNAcentral. RNAcentral also lists the same sequence under 2 other names. Lineage: Bacteria; Thermotogati; Deinococcota.
GGGCAGGUGGCCGAGUGGUUAAAGGCGACAGACUGUAAAUCUGUUCUCUUCGGAGUUCGGAGGUUCGAAUCCUCCCCUGCCCACCA